AUCGAACGCUGGCGGCAGGCCUAACACAUGCAAGUCGAACGGUAACAGGAAGAAGCUUGCUUCUUUGCUGACGAGUGGCGGACGGGUGAGUAAUGUCUGGGAAACUGCCUGAUGGAGGGGGAUAACUACUGGAAACGGUAGCUAAUACCGCAUAACGUCGCAAGACCAAAAAGGGGGACCUUCGGGCCUCUUGCCAUCGGAUGUGCCCAGAUGGGAUUAGCUAGUAGGUGGGGUAACGGCUCACCUAGGCGACGAUCCCUAGCUGGUCUGAGAGGAUGACCAGCCACACUGGAACUGAGACACGGUCCAGACUCCUACGGGAGGCAGCAGUGGGGAAUAUUGCACAAUGGGCGCAAGCCUGAUGCAGCCAUGCCGCGUGUAUGAAGAAGGCCUUCGGGUUGUAAAGUACUUUCAGCGGGGAGGAAGGGAGUAAAGUUAAUACCUUUGCUCAUUGACGUUACCCGCAGAAGAAGCACCGGCUAACUCCGUG
Molecule: ribosomal RNA, 490 nt
Filed under: uncultured bacterium
Lineage: Bacteria
Description: partial 16S ribosomal RNA
Rfam family: Bacterial small subunit ribosomal RNA
Source: RNAcentral